This 576-nucleotide ribosomal RNA is filed under the name uncultured bacterium. Its description in RNAcentral is "bacterial SSU rRNA". It matches the Rfam family "Bacterial small subunit ribosomal RNA", at positions 338 to 916 of the family's 1533-position model. The record is from RNAcentral.
CCUACGGGAGGCAGCAGUGAGGAAUAUUGCGCAAUGGGCGCAAGCCUGAUCCAGCCAUGCCGCGUGCAGGAAGAAGCAUCUAUGGUGUGUAAACUGCUUUUGUACGGGAAGAAACACUCCCUCGUGAGGGAGCUUGACGGUACCGUAAGAAUAAGGAUCGGCUAACUCCGUGCCAGCAGCCGCGGUAAUACGGAGGAUCCAAGCGUUAUCCGGAAUCAUUGGGUUUAAAGGGUCCGUAGGCGGUUUAUUAAGUCAGUGGUGAAAUCUGGUCGCUCAACGAUCAAACGGCCAUUGAUACUGAUAGACUUGAAUUACUAGGAAGUAACUAGAAUAUGUAGUGUAGCGGUGAAAUGCUUAGAUAUUACAUGGAAUACCAAUUGCGAAGGCAGGUUACUACUAGUGGAUUGACGCUGAUGGACGAAAGCGUGGGGAGCGAACAGGAUUAGAUACCCUGGUAGUCCACGCCGUAAACGAUGGAUACUAGCUGUUGGGCGCAAGUUCAGUGGCUAAGCGAAAGUGAUAAGUAUCCCACCUGGGGAGUACGUUCGCAAGAAUGAAACUCAAAGGAAUUGACGG